Solanum lycopersicum (tomato) is the source of this 4794-nucleotide non-coding RNA. NCBI's taxonomy places the organism in Eukaryota, Viridiplantae, Streptophyta, Magnoliopsida, Solanales, Solanaceae. The record is from RefSeq and is a predicted model, not a curated record.
AUAGCCAUCUCUUUCCCACAUUUGCUUUCACUUAACCCUAACUUAGCACACAUCUCUUUCUCCCUUUUCUUCACAACGAUUGUGUAGCUGCAUAAUUACAUAUCGAUUGAGCCUCCAGCAACUGAUCACUCAGUCUUUGAAGCCCUAGUUACUGCCGUGAUCGAUUUGAGGAGACUCUAACAGAUGGAUCGUAGUUGGAUGUAUUAUAUGACUAAUUUUGAUCGAAUGUGGUUGAGGCCUGAAUUUGUGGAAGGUGUCGCUGGUUUUGUGGAGUAUGCAAAGACACUAGAACCUUUUCAACGUAAUGGCUUGGUUAAGUGUCCUUGUAACAAAUGUCAAUAUAUGAAUUAUGAAAAACCAGAUAUUGUUGAGCUUCAUCUUAUCGAAAUGAAUUUAAAAAAGAAUAUACAGUAUGGACUAGUCAUGGAGAAAUUUAUAAUAGUUUUGAUGUAUUUCAAAACUAUGUUGUUGGUGAAACUAGUACUAAGUUGAAAUCUAAUACACAAAAUUAUAGAAUGAAUGAAAUGGUUCAGGAUGCGUAUGGGGUGCAUUCUAAUUUUGAAUUUGGUAAUAAUAAUGUUGAAGAAACUCCCAACGAUAAAAGUAGAAUUUUCUUUGAACAAUUGGAAGCUGCUAGCCGGCCUUUAUGUGAGGGGAGUCCUUACUCCCAGUUGUCUAUUGAUCUUAGGUUAUUAAAUAUCAAAUCAGAUUGGAAUGUUUCUCAAGGGGCAAUGGAUUCUGUGAUUGACCUUAUGCAUGAUUUAGUUGAUCCAAAACCAGAGAUACCUGAUAAUUUCUAUAAGGCAAAGAGGUUGGUGUCAAAAUUAGGACUGUCAUCGAUGAGAAUCCAUUGUUGUGAGAAUGGUUGCAUGUUAUACUAUAAGGAUGAUAUUGAUUUUGAAUCCUGUAAGUUUUGUGGUAUAUCUAGGUAUAAGCUUGCUCCUAGUGUAAAAAAAGUUGCUGUUAAGAUGAUGUGUUACUUACCUCUUAUACCAAGGUUAAAAAGGUUAUAUGCAUCAAAUAGCUCUGCCCCUCAUAUGAGAUGGCACCAUGAAAACAGAAGACCACCCGGUGUUAUGUGUCAUCAUCUGAUGGAGAUGCUUGGAAGCAUUUUGAUAGAACUUAUCCCGAUUUUGCAGUAGAACCAGGGAACAUUAGAUUAGGUUUAUGUUCAGAUGGAUUCACUCGACAUUCUGUUUCUGCUGCACCUUACUCUUGUUGGCCUGUAUUUUAGCACCAUGUAAUCUUCCACUUGGGAUGUGUAAUACAAGUUCAUAUAUAUUUAUGAAUUGUGUCAUAUCUGGCCCCUGCAAUCCAAAGGUCUUGGUUGAUGUGUACUUGCAGCCUUUGAUAUAUGAAUUGAAACAACCGUGGGUACAAGGGGUUGAAAUAUUUGAUGUGUCUCUUAAGCAUUAAUUUGCGGGCUGCGUUAAUGUUGAUGAUUAAUGAUUUUCCUGCGUAUGGUAUGUUGUUAGGGUGGAUGACAACUGGAAAGUUAGCUUGUCCUUACUGUAUGGAAAAUACUAAAUCAUUCACUUUAAAACAUGGUAAAAAAAAAUCUUGGUUUGACUGUCAUCGUUAAUACUUGCCAAUGGACCAUGAGUUUAAGAGUAUGAAAAAUGCAUUCAAAAAGAAAACUGUUGAAUGAGGAUGUCCACCUCCAAUAUUGACUGGAGAACAAGUUUGGGAGAGGGUUCAACACCUUCCAAGUUUACAGAACAACAACCUUACAAAUUUGAUAGAUAUGGUGUUACUCAUAAUUGGACAAAACAGAGUAUAUUUUGGCAGUUAUCAUAUUUCAAGGAUAAUUUUCUUCAACAUAAUAUUGAUCUCAUGCAUAUCGAAAAAAAAUUACUUUGAUAAUCUAUUUAACACAGUAAUGGAUAUCAUUGACAAGACAAAAAAUAAUGUUAAAGUUAUAAUGGACUUACCAGAAUACUGUAGGCGAAGAGACUUAUGGUUGUAGGAGUAACAGAACAAGUUGUUCUUCAAGCCUAAGACUAAUUAUUCAUUUACAAUGGAUCAAAAGCAUAAACUAUGUGAAUAGGUCGAGCAACUUAAGAUGCCUGAUGGACAUGCUUCAAAUUUGGGAAGCGUGUUGAUAUGGAGCAUGGAAAGUUAUAUGGUUUGAAAAGUCAUGGUUGUCACAUCUUCAUGGAAACAUUACUCCCCAUCGCAUUUAGUGGAUUUCCUGAUAGAAUUUGGAAACCUAUGACUGAAAUUAGUUUGUUCUUCAAAGACUUGUGUUCUAAUACUAUGAAAGAAGACAACCUAGUCCAGAUGGAACAAAAUUCCUAUAAUUACAAAUAAGGUCUAAAAGAUUCUUCCACCUGGAUUUUGAGAUGUUAUGGAGCAUCUUCCUGUGCAUCUAGUGCAUGAAACCCGUCUCGGAGGCCCGGUUGAAUAUAGAUGGAUGUAUCAAUAUGAGAGAACUAUUGGCAAGUCUAAACGGGGUAUGAAGCAAAAACAUAGACUUGAAGGAACAAUGGUUGAAGCCUAUCUUGCUAGGUAAAUAACUAAUUUUGGUUCUUAUUACUUUGAUAUUAAUGUGCCAUGCUUGCGAAAUAGACCCAAUCGUCAUGACGAUAGUGGUGAGUCUAAUCCUCUUGCAAAGCCACUAUCAAUCUUCAAUCAACCAGACAAAGCUUCAAAAAAACGUACAAGGAAGGAUCUUAAGGCAAUGGAGUUUAAGCCUGCAUCGAUACAUAUCUUGUUGAAUUGUCCACAAGUUAAACAAUUUCUUUAGUAAGUUGAUAUUAGUUUGCACUUAAUAUGUAAUUACCAUGUAAAUGAACUAACUCAAUAUUCAUCCUCUUUGACAGCUACUUCCUGCAUUUAUAUGGCAAUGAUAAAGUAUUUGAGUAUUAUUAAACAUGAUUUGAAAAUUAUAUGGCAGGUGGCUGGAAGAAUAAAGCUAUUGAUAAUGCCCCCCAAAAGAAGAAGAAAAAAGAUAGCAUGAUUACUAGGCGAUCGACUGCCAUACACAUCAGAUCAGACUCCACACCAUCUCUCCCAACACGAGACACUCCGGUACAUUGAAGUUCUAGGCAGACUGCGUCUUAUAUGCAGUUGACUCCAUAGAUUCAUCUCCAUCGACCUAUAUGCAUCAGGUGCCUAUGAUUAUGCCCACAUCCGGAUAUGCUACCCCAAAUGGAUACACUCAUUUGCCUCCCGAGUCUCAGCGACCGACAUCCAAUGUCUCUUGUACAGUUAAUCACAUCCAACAAACUCACAACCUUCAUAAACAUCUAUUUCAAAUCUUGGGAUGUCUAGUCUUCACAUUCAAGGUAGCAGCCCUGACACUCCUAUCACAAAUCAAUCAGCCACACAUGAUCAGGCUCAUACACAAGUUGGUGUGAGGGAUAUAUACAAAAGACUGGUCAUCGAGCCUGACGGCUACACAUAUGAUAUAUUUUCUUAUAAAAUAGUUUUAGUUUAAGAUUAUCUCUUAAUUUUCUUAGUUUUAACCUUUAAGUGUUUAAACUUUUAUUAUAGUUUUAAUCCAGAUGAUGCUGUAAGGAUCAUUUCUUGCACUAUCAAAGAUCUUUAUAUAGGUUCAUUUUCGAGUUAAGGAAAGAUGCCAACUAAUCUUAGAAGACAAUUUUUUUGGAGUUUUGAAUAUAUUAAAAUUUAUUGCUUUAACUCUAUUUUAAUAAUUGUCUUCAAUAAUGUGUGUUUAUAGAAAUGUAUCUUGUCAUUGCAGAAAAAGUGUGCUUGGUGUCCGGAACACGAGACUCAAAUUUUCGCAAACCUUCACAAGAAAGCUGGGUGUCUACUUUCUAGUUUGUUUCUGAAAGCUCGUAAAAAAGAUAAGAAGCCUCGAUGGAUUCUAUAUGAGGAUUGGGAAAAGUUAGUUGAACAUUGGGAGACAAAUGCAAGGUUCAAGCAGAUGAGCGAGAUCGGUAAGAUGUCGAGAUCAUCUACUAAGGGUGGUUCUCUACACACAAGCGGGGCACAUAGUCAAGGAAAUGUGAGGAGAAAACUGGAAAAGGAACUAGGAAGGUCUGUAACUCAGGCUGAAGCAUUCAAGUUUACACACACAAGGAAGAAGAAAAAUCCUGGAGAUCCAAACUUUGGGUUGAUCCACGAGCUCAACUGACCUAUAAUCAAAAUCUUCAAACCUUGGAGGAUUUCCACCAAACUUUACCAGAAGACAACCAAGGCAUGUCAAUUAGCCAAGAGCAGGACGAGAGAAUUUGGCUGGACUAUGUUGGUGGUCCAACUAGAUAUGGAUAUGCUUAUGGCAUGCCGCAAAGGGCCUUUCGUGAAUUUCAUUCUGAGCUAGAAGGCCUAUCUAGUUCCCAUGAUGAUGAAUUGAGGAAGACUAAUCUUGAUUUGAAGCAUACGAUAUCUAAGCUAUCUAGUCAAGUUGAAUCCUCAUAGGUUAGGGAAAGGAGGAGGGACAUAGAAUUUGCGGGUCUUAAGGUUUAAUUUGAUGCAUUACCUGCUUCAGGAGGGAUUAUCCCUUGUCCCAGUGAUGUCCCUUUCCCUCCUCGACCCUCUCAAUCUCAACCUCCAACAUAUGGUAAGCAAAGAGAUUUGAUGGAGGAGUCUAGUAGUGAGGAAGAUGACGUGGAAGAUGUGGAAAACUCAAUGCCACAUUAUUGAAGAUUAGAGUUGCAUUAGAUAGCCUAAAGUUUUUAUGUUAAGGUUAUUUUAUGAGACUUAUUAUGUGUUUAUUUAAUGUUAGAUAUCUUUGAAAUCCUAUUAUAUAACUGACUUUUAUGUUUGUUCUUUGGAAUUUGAAUUACUUUGAGUUGAAGCAUAAUAUUAGUAAAUCUAUUUUGUGUUAUU